Fukomys damarensis (Damara mole-rat) is the source of this 364-nucleotide long non-coding RNA. RefSeq lists it as uncharacterized. The transcript has 3 exons. Lineage: Eukaryota; Metazoa; Chordata; Mammalia; Rodentia; Bathyergidae. The record is from RefSeq and is a predicted model, not a curated record.
AGCAGGUUUGCAGGAAAAGGAAAAGAUCUAUGACAACUCAUCACUUGAACCAAAGCCAGGUCUCAAACUAUCAAUUGGACAUGACUUAAUAUGUGAAUAUUGAAGAUUCUGGGACAUGCUAAGCAUGAGUUCUACCAGUGAGCUACACCUCCUAUUCUAUAUUCUGAUCUGUCAAAUAACCAGGUCCUCGUUUUCUCCAGCCUGGCUGGGAUCUGAGCACUGGUAACUUGCUGUGAGGUGGGACUGAGAACUGAAUCCCCCCCCCCCCGCCAUUUGGACAGUGAAACACAAAUCACCUCUCCUGCCCUCUCCUUCCACACAGCUUGCUGUCUGCAUCAACAUGACUUUACAAUUUCAUGCUUUA